This is a non-coding RNA of Kogia breviceps (pygmy sperm whale), 784 nucleotides long. The record is from RefSeq and is a predicted model, not a curated record. NCBI's taxonomy places the organism in Eukaryota, Metazoa, Chordata, Mammalia, Artiodactyla, Physeteridae.
ACUCCAGUGAAGUUGGGGAGGGAGGAGGGACGCCCCUGUUUGCUUCUCUUCGCAGAUCCGUCUGGUUUUCUUUACGGUGCUCUCUAAGCUCCAGUCAGAACAAUCUCUCCCUAAUCUGGCAUCUGAUAAAUGGACGGGCUCCAGGAGGCCUGCGAUUCCGCCCCCCCCUUCCACCCCCCGCCACUUGCAAUAUUACACAUGCAGUAGUCUGUGUAUUACUCGGGGAGAGGGCUCUAACUGAUCAGAUUCUCAAGUGUCCGUGUCUUCGCUGUUACAACUGUACAAUACCUCUUGCUGUGUUGGAUCCUUCCUGUCCGAGGAGCCAGUGUCCGAUUGUGUGUAUGUGUACGGGGGGUGGGGAGUUGUUACACACGUGUGUAAUGGGUGUGCGAAGGUGAGAAACGUCCCUAGCACUGGCCUGCGCUCGGAACACCUGGCUGAAUGCACCUCUUCCUAACUAUGUGCCCUUGGUUUGGCUUGAUUUUGCCUUCCUGCGCAUCUUUAUUUAUGCAAUACCGCCCCCUCAUGGUUAGGGCUGGGAACGGCGUCAAGGAUGGAAGUACUCAUACGAACGACACAAGUCCGCAGGGACCAAAUCAAGAGAGGACACAAGGUGUGACUACAUCUUAUAGAACAAGUGAUGAGAAGUCGAAGUAGCCAAAUUUCAGAAUGCUGUGAAUGUUAAAUUGCACCACAGGAUUGGUUCAGCAAAAUUCAGCGGCUGGAAACGCUACUGGACAAACAACUGAGUUCCAUUAGUAAAUUACAAGGAGAGAGAUGGAGA